This 465-nucleotide ribosomal RNA is filed under the name uncultured bacterium. RNAcentral's name for it is "bacterial SSU rRNA". It matches the Rfam family "Bacterial small subunit ribosomal RNA", at positions 338 to 795 of the family's 1533-position model. The record is from RNAcentral.
CCUACGGGCCGCACCAGUGGGGAAUAUUGGACAAUGGGCGAAAGCCUGAUCCAGCCAUGCCGCGUGUGUGAAGAAGGUCUUCGGAUUGUAAAGCACCUUAAGUUGGGAGGAAGGGCAGUAAGUUAAUACCUUGCUGUUUUGACGUUACCAACAGAAUAAGCACCGGCUAACUUCGUGCCAGCAGCCGCGGUAAUACGAAGGGUGCAAGCGUUAAUCGGAAUUACUGGGCGUAAAGCGCGCGUAGGUGGUUCAGCAAGUUGGAUGUGAAAUCCCCGGGCUCAACCUGGGAACUGCAUCCAAAACUACUGAGCUAGAGUACGGUAGAGGGUGGUGGAAUUUCCUGUGUAGCGGUGAAAUGCGUAGAUAUAGGAAGGAACACCAGUGGCGAAGGCGACCACCUGGACUGAUACUGACACUGAGGUGCGAAAGCGUGGGGAGCAAACAGGAUUAGAUACCCGUGUAGUC